RNAcentral lists this long non-coding RNA (315 nucleotides) under Triticum aestivum (bread wheat). RNAcentral's name for it is "long non-coding RNA (TAES_LNC010875)". Lineage: Eukaryota; Viridiplantae; Streptophyta; Magnoliopsida; Poales; Poaceae. The record is from RNAcentral.
UGUGCUAGCAGGCAGAGGAUAACUGUACAUGCAACUGAACAGGCUCACUUCACUGAUAUAAACAAGGUCAAGCACACCAAUGCUCCAAAUCGUACUGUAGAUAUUCACAAGUUGAUGAUCCCUAUUUCUAGCGAGGCACCACUAGAAACACACAGACCACAGGUUCAGGACUGGAUGAAGCGCUGGAGAUCAGAAGGCGCGGGAGAGGAUGAAGCGCUGGAGAUCAGAAGGCGCUGUACUCGUCCUCGGAGUUCAUCUGGAGGAACCACACGAUGGCCAGCCCGAAGACGGCGAAGGAGGACAGCUCCAUCGUCA